AUUGAACGCUGGCGGCAGGCCUAACACAUGCAAGUCGAGCGGAUGAAGGGAGCUUGCUCCUGGAUUCAGCGGCGGACGGGUGAGUAAUGCCUAGGAAUCUGCCUGGUAGUGGGGGAUAACGUCCGGAAACGGGCGCUAAUACUGCAUACGUCCUGAGGGAGAAAGUGGGGGAUCUUCGGACCUCACGCUAUCAGAUGAGCCUAGGUCGGAUUGGCUAGUUGGUGGGGUAAAGGCCUACUAAGGCGACGAUCCGUAACUGGUCUGAGUGGAUGAUCAGUCGCACUGGAACUGGAACACGGUCCAGGCUACUGCGGGAGGGAGCAGUGGGGAAUAUUAGGCAGUAGGGGAGAGCCUUGUCCAACCAUGCCGCGUGUGUGAAGGAGGUCUUCGGAUUGUGAAGCACUUUAAGUUGGGGGAAAGGGCAGUAGGUUAAUACCUUGCUGUUUUGACGUUACCAACAGAAUAAGCACCGGCUAACUUCGUG
RNAcentral lists this ribosomal RNA (484 nucleotides) under uncultured bacterium. RNAcentral's name for it is "partial 16S ribosomal RNA". It matches the Rfam family "Bacterial small subunit ribosomal RNA", at positions 30 to 507 of the family's 1533-position model. The record is from RNAcentral.